RNAcentral lists this ribosomal RNA (248 nucleotides) under uncultured bacterium. RNAcentral's name for it is "partial 16S ribosomal RNA". It matches the Rfam family "Bacterial small subunit ribosomal RNA", at positions 1254 to 1500 of the family's 1533-position model. The record is from RNAcentral.
GCCGCGAGGCGGAGCAAAUCCCAGAAAUAACGUCCCAGUUCGGACUGCAGCCUGCAACCCGGCUGCACGAAGCCGGAAUCGCUAGUAAUCGCAGAUCAGCAUGCUGCGGUGAAUACGUUCCCGGGUCUUGUACACACCGCCCGUCACACCAUGGGAGUUUGUAACGCCCAAAGUCGGUGGCCUAACCUUUAUGGAGGGAGCCGCCUAAGGCGGGACAGAUGACUGGGGUGAAGUCGUAACAAGGUAUC